AAAGUGGCAGAAUGUGGGAAUGUUGAAGAAGACUAGAUAGCAGGAGAGACAACCACCGCCUGAAAUGAGAAGGAAGGAAGCGUGAAGAAAAGACUGUUACACGGGGAAAAGUAAGCUGAUGGGCUGUGUGGCAUUUUCUU
RNAcentral lists this long non-coding RNA (140 nucleotides) under Capra hircus (goat). RNAcentral describes it as "TTC28 antisense RNA 1 conserved region 2 (ENSCHIG00000002975.1)". It matches the Rfam family "TTC28 antisense RNA 1 conserved region 2". Lineage: Eukaryota; Metazoa; Chordata; Mammalia; Artiodactyla; Bovidae. The record is from RNAcentral.